CCUACGGGAGGCAGCAGUGAGGAAUAUUGGUCAAUGGACGGAAGUCUGAACCAGCAAUGCCGCGUGCAGGAAGACGGCUCUAUGAGUUUUAAACUGCUUUUGUACAAGGGUAAACCUGAAUACGUGUCUUCAGCUGAAAGUAUUGUACGAUUAAGGAUCGGCUAACUCCGUGCCAGCAGCCGGGGUAAUCCGGAGGAUCCAAGCGUUAUCCGGAUUUAUGGGGUUUAAAGGGUGCGUAGUCGGAUUGAUAAGUUAGAGGUGAACGUUCCGGGCUUAACUAUGGAACUGCCAUUUAUACUGUUGAUCUAGAGAAGAGGUGCGGGAGGCGGAAUGCAUGGUGUAGGGGUGAAAUGCUUAGAGAUCAAGAAGAACACCGAUUGCGAAGGCAGCUUACCAAUCUAUAACUGACGUUGAGGCACGAAAGCGUGGGGAGCAAACAGGAUUAGAUACCCUUGUAGUC
Molecule: ribosomal RNA, 460 nt
Filed under: uncultured bacterium
Lineage: Bacteria
Description: partial 16S ribosomal RNA
Rfam family: Bacterial small subunit ribosomal RNA
Source: RNAcentral